UCGAGUCCGACGCGCCGCGGGGAGCGCGCGAGCGCCCCCGCGGAUCGUACGUCUUCCCUGUGCACCCAUGGUAGGACCUCGCGGGGCCUACGUAGGUCGUCCCUCGGUCGAAAGUCGGUAGACUGCGUGACGUAGCACGA
This 140-nucleotide unclassified non-coding RNA is filed under the name uncultured Boletales. Its description in RNAcentral is "sequence contains ITS1". The record is from RNAcentral. Lineage: Eukaryota; Fungi; Basidiomycota; Agaricomycetes; Boletales.